GAUGAACGCUAGCUACAGGCUUAACACAUGCAAGUCGAGGGGAAACGACAUCGAAAGCUUGCUUUUGAUGGGCGUCGACCGGCGCACGGGUGAGUAACGCGUAUCCAACCUGCCCACCACUUGGGGAUAACCUUGCGAAAGUAAGACUAAUACCCAAUGACGUCUCUAGAAGACAUCUGAAGGAGAUUUAAGAUUUAUCGGUGAUGGAUGGGGAUGCGUCUGAUUAGGUUGUUGGCGGGGUAACGGCCAACCAAGGCGACGAUCAGUAGGGGUUCUGAGAGGAAGGUCACCCACAUUGGAACUGAGACACGGUCCAAACGCCUACGGGAGGCAGCAGUGAGGAAUAUUGGUCAAUGGGCGAGAGCCUGAACCAGCCAAGUAGCGUGCAGGAAGACGGCCCUAUGGGUUGUAAACUGCUUUUAUAAGGGAAUAAAGUGGGAGUCGUGACUCCUUUUGCAUGUACCUUAUGAAUAAGGACCGGCUAAUUCCGUGCCAGCCGCCGCAGUAA
Molecule: ribosomal RNA, 508 nt
Filed under: uncultured bacterium
Lineage: Bacteria
Description: partial 16S ribosomal RNA
Rfam family: Bacterial small subunit ribosomal RNA
Source: RNAcentral